GAAGGUAUGGCUCAGUGGCAGAGUGUGUGCCUAGCAUGCAGGAGGUCCUGGGCUCAAUCCCCAGUACCUCCA
Camelus ferus (Wild Bactrian camel) is the source of this 72-nucleotide transfer RNA. It matches the Rfam family "tRNA". Rfam says of the family: Transfer RNA (tRNA) molecules are approximately 80 nucleotides in length. The record is from Rfam. Lineage: Eukaryota; Metazoa; Chordata; Mammalia; Artiodactyla; Camelidae.